CCUCCUGCCGGGGCGACUCCUGCAAAGGGGAGGGCGGGGAGGCGCGCGCGCCGAGAAGUGGGGAAAAAGUUGCUCGUUUUCUCGGGGCUCCGGAGGGGUCACGGGAGACCCGACACGCUCCCCGGCGGCCUUUGGGGUUUGAGGGUUCAGAGCUACAUCAGAGGACUCGGCCCAGGAGUCUGCGGGAGACGGUAUUUUAAGAAUCCUACCGUCUGGGAAGAGCGGUAUUAGAAGCAGAUACUUCCCCAGGUACAGUCUGUGAAAGUGCUUUUUCAAAGUCGUUGGAAGUUACAAAUGGGUAAGCAAGCACCUCCCUUCCAACUGCCCUUAAACCUGGUGGUGACUGCAUGACCUUCCUACCCAAGAAGUCAGCUGAGGAGGCCUCUAGGGAAGAUUGGAUCCUCUGGUGAAAGAGAAUGGCUCUUUUGGACACAUUCUUGAAGGAUGAGAUGUUUGGAGCUGUAGCAGCCUUCUUACAAUGAUGAGGGGAAUCACAGAGACAGAGCCCAGCACUCUAACAUAGUGGAGCUACAUACCUCCUUUUG
Hyaena hyaena (striped hyena) is the source of this 545-nucleotide long non-coding RNA. RefSeq lists it as uncharacterized. The transcript has 3 exons. Lineage: Eukaryota; Metazoa; Chordata; Mammalia; Carnivora; Hyaenidae. The record is from RefSeq and is a predicted model, not a curated record.